CACUCAUGAAUAAUGAUAUCUAUCUAUCUAUCUAUCUAUCUAUCUAUCUAUCUAUCUAUCUAUCUAUCUAUCUAUCGCUCGCCUCAGACCGUAAGCCAUCACCAGGUAAAUGAAGUAGUUGUUGCUUGCCUUCGAGUCCUGCUAACCCCUCAACAUGACAGAACCAUCUGGCCAAUCGGACUCUGCAGCACAACUACGGACCGUGCUGUCCAAACAAGGUGUCCUCUUGGGCAGGCAUGAUGCCACCAAUAAUGUCGUGUUGCAUCAGCUGAACUCCAUGCUUCAGUAUUUACAUCAAAUGGCUAAUCAAAUCCAGACUUUACAGGACAGGUUUCCUCCAGCUAACCCUGCUCCGGCUCCUGUUCCAGCCCCCACUCUGGCUUCAACUUCAGCUGCUUCUGCGCCACCUCUGUCCUGUGACGUCAUCACGCCCACUCCUGAACAUUACUCAGGUGAGCUAGAGAAAAGCAAGGGUUUCCUGCUUCAAUGUACGUUAGCUUUUCACCGCUCCCCACGCUCAUUUCCCGAUGACGCCAGCAAGAUUUCUUUUAUUUUCUGUUACUAAGAGAUCGAGCGCUUAGAUGGGCGGAGACCGUAGUUGAUGAAGAGAACCUCAUAUAUUGAGGAAUUUAUUGAGCUCUUCAAACAAACAUUCUGUCCCAAGGUUGGUGAAGAAGCUGCCUCAAAAAGAAUCUGGAAUUUAAGACAAGGGAAUAGAUCAGUGGCUGAUUUUGCCAUUGAUUUUCGCACCAUUGGAACAGAAUCAGGUUGGAAUGAACCAGCUCUUACAGGAGGUUUCCAACAUGCCCUGAACAACAAACUGAAAGAUGAGCAGGCAUGCCGAGAUGAACCUGGCUGUCUAGACGAACUAAUUAAACUGGCCAUCAAGAUAGAUAACAGAAUUAGAGAUAGAUCCCGACCCUCAAAUUCCCGGCCUUCUCUGCCUCCCAUUAGGAGGGGUUCUCCCAGCCCUGACUCGCCCAAUCCUCCAAUCCAGAACCCAUGCAGGUAGGCCGAGCCCGGCUAAGUCCAGAGGAAUGGCAAAGUCGUAUAUCCUCAGGUUGUUGUCUUUACUGCGGGUCCUCUCAACAUUUCAUCUCCUCUUGUCCAGUACACAAAAAAAAGCCCUAGCCCGCCAGUAAGUCUGAGGGUCCUGGUGGGCGGAUCUAAAGAGAAUGAUUACCUCCAGCUAAGUCUUCCUGCUGUACUCACUAUCCAGCAUGAUUCCUACCCCUUCCAAGCCUUAGUAGAUUGAGGUUCUGAGCAAAAUCUCAUACACCCUGAUCUAGAAUUUGAUCUGAAUAUCAAAUUCCGGUCCAGGCAUGACCUUCCCCCUGUAGGUGGCUGCCUUGGACGGUAGUCCUAUGGCCAACAUAACCCACCAAACUGACCCAGUUUCCCUCCACAUCUCUGGCAAUCACCAAGAAUACAUUAAAUGCUUUGCGUUUCCCAUUAAGGGUGCCCCUCUGGUUCUUGGGUUCUCCUGGCUCUGCAAACACAACCCCCACAUUAACUGGGCCGAUGCUCGCAUUGACUCAUGGAGCCCUUAUUGUCUCAACCAAUGCUGCAAUCUGCUAAGCCAUCUCUGCCUUCAGAGCCGCCCCAGCCCAUUGGUGAACCUGAUCUAACUAAUGUUCCUAAAGAAUACAAUGACCUCCACUGGGUAUUCAGUAAAGAUCUCGCCCAGUCUCUCCCUCCUCAUCGCCCCUAUGACUGCUGCAUAGACCUUCUUCCUGGAGCCCUACUUCCUUCCAGCCGUUUGUUUAAUAUCUCUAAGCAAGAGAGGCAAACUAUGGAACAGUAUUAAAAUGACUCACUUAAAGCAGGUCUCUGUUGGAUUCCGGGGUUUUUGGGGGUUUUUCAUGUCUGGGUCCUUUUUCGGCUAGUCACUAGCCUUCCACCAGAUGGUGCCACAGACUGCUUUUCCUGGCGGGGCAUGCCAACCUCCAACACACCUGUUUGGCAUCUCCUCAUCAUCUCUGGAGCUCAAGAGGAGCUGACUGCCGGUUCUUCGAUGCCUGAGUGUUUGCCAGCAAUGGUAGUCAGAGCCCUCCAGCGAAAGCUCUUUGUUCACUUGAGUAACUUCCCGAGUAAUUCCUCUCGUUGUUCUCCUCCUCCAGGUGUCCUCCUCGAGACACUGAGUUCCUUUGUUAAGGGAUUAUUUCCCCCUGGUUUUCCGGAACCCAUUGCCUUGUGAAGCUGUGGAGAUUACCCACUGGUUGCCCGAGUCCCCGCACCUACCCUUGGAAACACCGUUCGUCAGUCGGAACACUCCUCUGUCUCCAGCCCGCCAGAUCCUGCCUGUCCGCCUUCCGCCGCCAGCUCCUGGACCCAGCUGGUUCUCAGACAAGCCCGGACCCAUUGAGAAGACCCUUUGGACUAAACGACCUCGAUCCAACAGUUAAACCCUCCCGGACUUUCACCAUCUACUCUGCAAUGUGCCGCAUUUCCCGAGAGCCGUAUUUCCUGGAGCAGACGCACCUCUGCUGAUUUUCUGAUUAUUCAAUAAACCAUUUUUACUGAUUAUCCGUUUCCCUGUGGUGUUCUGCAUGUGGGCUAGAAAAGUAGACCCCAACAUGACAGUCUCAUCCGUCCCUCUUCUUGCCUCCUUGGUACAGGAUUCUUCUUUGUGACUGUAAAAGAUAAUACUCUCCCGCCGUGUAUCGAUUAUAGAGGGCUCAACCAAAUCACUGUAAAGAAUAAAUAUUCUCUCCCCCCCAUUCCUCAGUUUUUGAACCAGUUCACCAAGCCUCCAUCUUCUCCAAGCUCAAUCUGCGAAACGCCUAUCAUCUUAUUCGCAUUCAAGAGGGCGACGAAUGGAAAACUGCAUUCAAAACCCAUAUUGGUCACUUUGAGUACUUGGUCAUGCCCUUUGGUCUCUGCAAUGCCCCUGCCACUUUUCAGAACUUGGUCAAUGAUGUUCUUUGGGACUUUCUCAAUGUUUUUGUUUUUGUCUACAUUGACGAUACUCUCAUCUUCUCCAACAGCCUGGAUGAACACCGCAAGCAUGUCAGGUUGGUCCUCCAAAGGUUGAUGGAGAACCGGCUCUUCAUCAAGGCUGAGAAGUGUCAGUUCCAUGUUUCUUCCAUUACCUUCCUCGGUUACGUGUUUGAGGGUGGACAGGUGAAGACGGACCCAGCUAAGAUCAAGGCUAUAGAGGAGUGGCCUGUUCCGAACUCCAGAAAGCAACUCCAGUGCUUUCUGGGGUUCGCUAACUUUUACCGCCGUUUCAUCCGGAACUUUAGUGUCAUCGCAACUCCUCUCACUAUUCUAACUUCCAUCAAACAACCCUUCAGAUGGAUAACGGAGGCAAAGCUCGCUUUUGGUGAGCUAAAAAGAAGGUUUGUGGAUGCUCCAAUUCUUAUUCACCCUGACCCUUCUGCUCAAUUCACAGUUGAAGUUGAUGCAUCUGAGACUGGUGUGGGAGCCAUCUUGUCCCAGCGUUCUCCCAGAGAUGGCAAGCUCCAUCCGUGUGCCUUUUUCUCCAAGAAGUUUACCACCACAGAGAGCAGGUACGCUUCUUGCCAUAAAGCUGGCUCUUGAGGAGUGGAGACACUGGCUUGAGGGUACAGAGCUCCCGGUCAUCAUCUGGACUGACCAUAAUAAUCUGGCUCAUCUUCAGUCUGCUAAAUGCCUGAACCCACGCCAGUAUCGUUGGUCUCUCUUCUUCUCCCGCUUCAACCUCAACAUCACCUACCACCCUGGUUCCAAGAACACUAAGCCAGAUGCUCUCUCCAGGCUCCACUCCCCAGAUGACCCUUCUGAGGCCUCUGGAGCCAUACUCCCAGCCACCUGCACCACUGGGUCCCUCACCUGGGACUUGGAGAGAGCCAUCCGGGAGGCCCUCACCUCUGAUCCAGACCCAGGAGGAGGACCCCCCAACCUCCAGUAUGUCCCAACCUCCAUCCGGGCCUGUGCCAUCCAUUGGGCACACUCAUCAGGUUUCUUUGACCAUCCUGGUAUAAGCUGUACCCUGCGCUGUUCAUGUGCCUCCAAUCCCUAAUCUUGGAGUGUCCACUUACCGUGGGUGGUUUACGCCCAUAACUCGCACAUCUCAUCUCCAUCUGGGUUAUCUCCAUUCGAGGCCUCACAAGGAUUUCAACCAUCUCUUCUACCUACAUCCUUCCCAGAUACUGUCAUUCCAUCAGUCGGGCAUCACAUACAGAACUGUCAACAUAUUUGGCACCAGACUAAGGCUGCCCUUCAAAGAACUUCUGCCCAAAAUAAGCAUCUCGCAGAUAUAAAGAGAGUUCCUGCUCCCACUUCCUCACCCGGCCAAAGAGUUUGGCUAUAGUCUAAAAUCUUUCCACUAAAAUCAUGUUCCCACAAGUUAUCCCCCAGGUUUCUGAGUCUGUUCAUUGUUGAAAUCAUCAUUAGCCCAUCUGCAGUCCACCUUAAAUUGCCUUCUCAUUUCCGUGUCCAUCCAGUGUUUCAUGUUUCUCAGAUCAAGCCUACAUCUCUACUCCUUUGUGCCCUCCUUCCAAGCUCCCUCCACCGGAUGGUCACCCGGCCUACUCCAUCCGUCGCAUUGUGGAUGUGGGUCCUCAUGGGUGGGGUAGAAAGUACCUAGUUGACUGGGAGGAAUAUGGUCCAGAGGAGCGGUCCUGGGUCCCACUUUCCUUUAUACAGGACCCAUCCCUCAUAUCCUCUUUUGAACUCUCCGCUGCAUCUUCUUCAGGUCGACCGCCAGGAGGCGUCCUUUGGGGGGGGGGGGGGGGGGGGGGGGGGGUGUACUGUUGGGUUCUGCAGGGCAGGGGAGUGUACAUUUACAGGGUGGCAGGCUGACGGGAUCCAGCUGGUGCUCAUCAUCACCAAUCAGCAAAGGCCUUAAAUAGGAGGGGCUUCCCUGAGGCAGAUGCCAGAUGGUUUUGCUUCCACAGUGGUACACUCUAGCUCUCUGUGCUGCAUUUACUGUGUUUAACUUGUUUCUGAUUUCUCUCCCAUCUAUUCCUUCCUCAUAGAACCAGCUCUGACCACUUCCUGGUGCUCAUACUAACCCUCAGACUGUAAGCCACCACCAGGUUACACCAUCAUUCUCUUCAUUUACUUCCCUGUUUUACUUCCUUUUUCUCAGUUCCUCCUCUGGCCCGGUUCCUCCCUGCUGCCACAGAUCAACACCUCUCCAAUAAUACCUUGUCUCACUCUUUAAGGGCUGUGCUGUCACCACCAUCACCAUGAAUCCUUGAAACAGAAGUUGCCUGUUCAAUUUCUGGUCUGUUCGCCCUUGUUGUUUGUGUCCCUGAGCAUCUUGCCUGCUGUUGUUGGUCAGAAGGGCCGAAGGCGCAAAAUUAGUCUCUCUUCUGUUAGCCUAUCCCAGAGCAGCUGUAGCUGCAAUCUAGUAGCUUUCCAUCAUCAUUGUGUGAAUGUUCCCCUGGAGGUUUCAAUUUGGGAUAUAAAGAGCAUUAUAAAUAUUAUUAUUUCUUGUUCUAAAAAUAACCAUUAGGUCACUUUCUUAGGGUAAAAACUGCUGUAAGGUUAAGUAAAGUGAAUUAGUCUUCUUUGUUUUCAAGCUACAAAUGUUUAAUAGAAAAUCUUGACUGUAAUGAUUGUAAGUUGGAAAGUAAACAGAGUCUUACAUCAGGAGUGUAUGGCAUCUACAACACAUGUUUCAUUUUUCUUCUGUUUAGGUGUCCUCCUUUCCCAGCAGUCAACAGUGGCAGGGACUAUGGAACACCGCAAGAAGCAGAGUAACACUGAGGGAAAGCCCCUGGCAACAUUUUUCCAACCCUCUUGUUUCUCUUACUCUACUGUUUCUCUUCAUGGACAAAGAAACUCUUCCAAGUGACCUGAAUGAACCAAAUUAGGAUUCGCUCCUUUGUUCUUCGAGACAAAAAGACUGCCAUCUGAGCAGGAACAUUUCAACACCAUGAUAUUUUUAAGCUUUAUGGCCAUCUACCCCUGAUUCCAGAAGGAUCUUAUCAUACACCAAUGAUACUUUUACAACACCUUUGAUCAAUUUCUUUACUAUCCUUUGAAGAAAGAAACAUGAACACAAAUAUAGCGCAUCAAACACAGCUACACAGCAAACAUCUUACAAAAUGACUUUUGUAACCAUUUAGUUUCAUGUGCUCAUUAGAAAUGUUGCUCAAAUUAACUGAUUACAAAAAUUUCUGUCAACCAUGGCGUUUGCUUCAAUGUUGAGACAUUUUUACCACAUAAAAGAGUAGUGUAGUAAAAACACAUUAUUCUUUGAAAGAAUUGCUGUACCUGCUACUAUCUCACUAUAAUGACAUACAAUAUCAUUAUAUUUGUAUUUAUUAUCUCAUUAUUAAAUUAUUAUUAUAGCUAAGUCAUCAUAUCAAGUCAUUAUGAAGAGAUUUUUUUUAUCACAGUGGAAGAAGCAGGCUGCCAUACUUUACUUUACUUUCCAUACUUUAUUCUUUUUACUUUUCCUUAUGCAGCCAAGCCAUCCUCAUUUGCAUUAAAUCAAUUGGAAUAUUAACUAUAAAAGUUCACAAAUAAAAACCCAUUAUAGAUUAAUUACACAGAUGUUUUAAAGUUUUUAGGUUUAAUGAUUUCUUAGUUGCAGCUAAUAAAAUCAUGGCAUUUAAGAUUAGAAUAUUACAUCAACAGUGAAGAAUAUGUGUGAUACCUGCUUAAAGCUUAUUUUCAAAAGAUACUUUUAAUCUAACAUACAAGACUCAUCGGCACUCAUUCUAAUUUAUUAAAUAUUACGUACUAUGAAACUUGUACAUUUUGUCAGUUUUGGUCCUCCAAAGAAUCUAACUUUGUACCACAGGAAAAACAAAUACACUUUAGUGUGUCUUUCAGUAGUAUGUAAUUUUCGACAGAAAUCUAUGGCUUUUUAACACAGUGUUAAUUUUAAGCAUGACUUACCAGCAGAAUGAUAAUCAAUAGGGAAGCAAUAAAACAUGGCAAGGAUUCAAUCUGUGGAAAGAAUUAGAUGAAGUUGUUAACAGAUGAUGGAAAAAUGUCAGUAAGUGUUUUUUGAGACAAAUAUCACUUGCUACAAUCAAGCAUGUCUUAUCAGUUUUUUGUUUUGUUUUGUUUUUUUUUUACAUAUAUUGAAUAUAACAAAUUGUCCAGCUGCACAGUUUGUUGUUUUAUUAGUUCCUUUUGUAAACUUAAUGAUUUUCUUAAUGAUUUAAAAAUAGAGAAAGUAUAGUACCCCAAUGACCCCAAUGAUGAACGGCACCAUUGGACUUCGUGUUCCCUCGACCGGACGCGGGUCACCGGGGCCCCACUCUGGAGCCAGGCCUGGAGGGGGGGCACGAUGGCGUGCAUACAUCUGCCAUAGCUUUUGAUUUUAAAUGGGUAGAAUAUUCAGAUGAAGUGAUCUUCUUGUGGUUUCGUCGUGUAUAUAAAUUGUUCCUAUGCUAUGCUAAGCAUGACUCUUCAGCUUCCACUUCAGUCCUGUCACUCAAAUAAUAUUAUAAAAUAUAUUUAACAUUAACACAACCUGCUGUAGUUUUUGGUUUGUAAACAUAAUGGUAGCAAUUUUGGACGCGUAGCACCGACAGAUAGACUUAGCUAUCUAUCCGUGCUAUGGUAGGAAAAUCUGAUGAGGCAGCACUGAUAGUCAGAACAUUAGACCCCCGCAAUCUUGGGAAAGUCGAGAUUUGAGCUACCUACCUCAAUUAGCUGUGGCUCUGCAGCACAAACUAAAACCUCCAGUAAGUAAACACUUAAAGGAAAAAACAUGUAACAACUUUAAUUUACUUUCACUGCUCAAUAGGAAGAAACACAUUAACAAUAAAAAUCAGACUACAGUUCAUUAUUUCAUUACUUUGGCUGAAUCAUGAUAAACUGCCUCAUUAUACCAUAAAUCAAAACUAGCUAAACUGCUACGUUGGUUUCAUAGACUUGGCUCCUUUUUCUGUCGAAGGUAGCCAAUAUUUCAAUUAUAUUUAGCUCUCUAACUUUAAUGGGAAGAGUUUGAAACUGGAGGGAGCGGAUGAGCAUUAUCAGCUAGUGCUGACAGCUCUGUAUGGGAGCCGAGAGCAGAGGAGCUAUUGCAGAGCAGCUGACGGUAAAAAAAAAUAAAGUAUGCCUUUAUUUGUUAUCAUCUUCAAUGUAAGAUGAUAACAAACCACAAAAUAAAAUCUGAAUACUUUUCUAUAAAACUCUGGUGCUGAGCCUUAAGUUUAAGUUAUGAUACUCCCAGAUAUUCAAUUUCUACAUAUUUAUAGGUUCUCUGCCAUCCAGGACAUGGAAAAACAAACAAACAAAAUAUUAAAGUUUAAAGCAACUUAAGUUAUAAUUUAAAUAACACAUAACUUGUAUUGAGAACCACUGCAAUAAAUCAAUAUUUAUGAGGACUUUUAUUAAGUGGAGUCACUCAUUAAAACUUAUUUUUAGUCAGAGCCUUACAUUUUUGUAAAAGUGUAGCUGAGACAAGAUCGGUGACACUGAACCAAACUCAUAUCUAAUCAACAUUUGAAUCUUAAUUUGGCUUCUAUGGGUCUCAACAGGUUGUUUACUGAGAAAAACAUAUUUGAUAUGCAUUGCUACAUACUAGUCAUUUUUGGUGGUGCAGCUUAAACACAAUAAAAAAACUUAAAAAAAGUUAAACCACAUUUUACGUUACAUUUGACUGUAACUUUGCCAACCACCCCCCCAAAAAUUACUCUUAAAAAAUUUCUGUUUAUGGUCCCUCCCCCAAUAAUGAGAUGGGAUUUACGCCCCCAUGCAAACACUGUACAUUACUAUAUAAAUAAGCUAAAUUAUGGAAAAUCAGUUCAUACAUUAAAUGUUUUUUAGCCAUUUUAUUGGCGACACACAGACAGGACGAGCAUGCUACCAUAGAAUGGCAGCCAGUGCAGUUAGUGAGAGGUUGAUCAAUCCCAGGUGAGGCUCAACUCGCUGCUGCCUCACCGGCUUCGCUUCUGAGCAUUUGACUGGGAAAAUUCAGCGAUUUUGAA
Xiphophorus couchianus (Monterrey platyfish) is the source of this 8882-nucleotide long non-coding RNA. RefSeq lists it as uncharacterized. The transcript is spliced from 2 exons. The record is from RefSeq and is a predicted model, not a curated record. NCBI's taxonomy places the organism in Eukaryota, Metazoa, Chordata, Actinopteri, Cyprinodontiformes, Poeciliidae.